RNAcentral lists this ribosomal RNA (365 nucleotides) under uncultured eukaryote. Its description in RNAcentral is "partial 18S ribosomal RNA". It matches the Rfam family "Eukaryotic small subunit ribosomal RNA", at positions 592 to 976 of the family's 1831-position model. The record is from RNAcentral.
CAAUAGCGUAUAUUUAAGUUGUUGCAGUUAAAAAGCUCGUAGUCGGAUUUUGGCUGAGAACGAUCGGUCCGCCGUUAGGUGUGCACUGAUUGGUCUCAGCUUCCUGGUGAGGAGGUGUGCUUCACGGCCACUUAGUCACCGUGGUUACUUUGAAAAAAUUAGAGUGUUCAAAGCGGGCUUACGCUUGAAUAUAUUAGCAUGGAAUAACACCAUAGGACUCCUGUCCUAUUUCGUUGGUCACGGGACGGGAGUAAUGAUUAAGAGGAACAGUUGGGGGCAUUCGUAUUUCAUUGUCAGAGGUGAAAUUCUUGGAUUUAUGAAAGACGAACUUCUGCGAAAGCAUCUGCCAAGGAUGUUUUCAUUGA